AGAAACCAACAAAAAAAGGUAUGAAAAUAUUUACCUUUGGACUUUUGGUGUUUCCUAGUUGACUCUCUUUGAGGAUGGGAUGAUGCGAGGGUCGCCAGGGGAACUCACGACAGUCUCUGAAAAGUGACCCAGGUUUACAAGCCCGGGACGGACUGGAGCAUUUUGAGGUGCUUCCGAAGUUCAUUUGGGUUGUGAACAUAAUUGCCUUUAUCUCUGGAAGGUGUGUGUCACUAAAUGGGAAAGGUACACCUGUUUCCCAUCCAGCAAUCCCAGCGUUAAUAGGACCAGUACUUUGUAAAUGAGCUCCCUGGCACCGGUGUCGUGGCUGUGGUUAAUGCAAGGUAUUUGGUCGUGCUUUAAGGAAUUGGAAAAUGCUUUGCGUUUCUCUGUGGAAGGCAGCAGUCCAAAGCACCUCUGGGGGCAGGUAUCUGGGCGGUAUUUGCAUCUGUUUAUGAGUGUGAUGAGAGGGUUAGGAGGCAGUUGCCAAGGGCAUAUGAGUACUGAUUGGGGAAUUGCUCAAGUUAUGGGUACCCUCCUCCUCUCUCAGUGGCCCCAAGCUUUACCAUCCUUUUAGGAUAGUUUGUCGCAGACACAAAGAAUGGAUUAAAAAUAGGGUUGUGAGAGCUGGCUUAUUACUAGGUUUCUAAGUCUGUUCAUAUUUGCUGGUAAUUUUAAGUAAUGUCACUUCUUUAGAAGAUUGUAUUGGAAACCAAAGAAUUGAAUUGGAGCAACAAUUUGCAGAUUAUUUCACAGUUGGGUUUGUUGCUAAAUGGAAUUUUACCUGUAGAUUCACUGAAGGCUCUGCUAAAUACUCUUUGAUAAUGAUAAUAAAUGGUACUUUGAUUAAAAUGCAGUCGAUAUGUUUUGAGGAGAUAACCAGGAGAGAAGAAUAUGUACUUUCUCAUUUAAGCAUGAAAGACAGAAUAUUGAAGCCUGAGUAUGUUAUAUAGACACAAUAUAGUUUCAUGUUAUAUGCAAAAAAUGAACAUUUUUGUGGUCCUUCAGACCUUUGUUAGCAGCUCCAACAUUCAAGUGCAAGGAUUUUGGACCUGAUUUUCAGCCACAUGGGCCCCUCACUGUGAGUUCUAGCCUGAGCAGUUACAUUUGUGGCCCUUAGUUUGAAGACUGGGAAUAGCCAGGCUUAAUUCAGCACAAUAAGGACUCAUGUUUUGCCUUUGCUGCUAGCUCUCACAAGGCACAGGAUUCAUUAUAGUUUGGCAUCUUUAAAGCUGUAUUGCUUUCUGCCAAAAAAUAAAGUCAGUAUAUACAUCAGAAGUAAACAGUCAUGUAUAGUGAGCACCGACUUGUUCUAGUGGUUUAUUUACACUCUGAAGCACGAAAUGAAGCUUUUGUCAGUGCAGUGAGAAACAAUAAUUUGGCAUGUUUAUAUAUAUUACUAGCAUCCUGAGGUAUGUGCAUCACCAAAUGAUGAAAGCAAAAAAAAGGAAAAAAGCCAUGAUAUCCACAUUGCCUCCUUAGGAGAUGCAAAUGGGAGUGUGCCGGAUGUCAGUGGCUGAGAUUGGCCACCUGGUGGAAGUAGGGGACAGCACAGAGCAUCCUCAGGUGUAAACUACCAGUUGUCACUCUGGCUGCUUCACAGUAGUAGCAGUCUUCUGCAUUUCUAGGCUUCAGAGUCUUAAAUGAUAAGUCUAAAUUUUGUAAAAUUAUUUGAUAAUUUUGUAAACUCAUAAUUUUAUGAGGUCUUAGUUUUAUAAAUUAAAUUUAAAAAGCCUGGCCCUAAUUUUUGGUAUAUGGUAUAAAACAUGGACUGAUAACCACAGCUAUUGGUUUCUCUGAAGAAUUCUGUAACUUGACUUACCAAGCGUGUCCAAAGAGAUAAAAGGACUGUUUCUGGGUCACUGUUCUCUAGCAAUUUCUAGUCGCACUGUGAUAAUGUGAUGACUGGUUGGUAAUUUAGCAUCUCGUACAAUGUGUUGUAGCAUUUGUAAAAACGCAUUUGCAAAGGAUGAUAGUUAGUUUUUAAUGGUUUCAUCAUUACCCAAACACUUAGGUUUGGAUUUGUGGCUGUGGAGAAUAAUGUUCUCCAGAAUAACAUGGAGACCUCGAGGAAACAUGCUAUAAAUGUGAGGUACUGUCACCUGACCUGCUGUGCCUGGUGAGUAUUGAUCGUAUCCAGUGUGCUGAGAAAAGGCAUGGGGACCCAUGCUGGUGGUGAUAGGAAGGAGAAUGUUGUGCCAUGGAUUAUUAAGAGAGGUGGAUGGAGGUUGAAAAACUUCUGUGAGCAUGUGUUUCAUUAUUUUGUGCUCUCAGUUAAAAUGGGGAUAAUAAGAUCACAUAAAUUUAUACAAUUUGGCACAGCAUUGGAGUGUUAUAAACGUAGUUCAAGGUCAACCAUUGAUUUCCAUAUGUGCCAGUUCUUUGUAGCAAGUAUACAGCGUAGUUUUGGACAUCAGUAUCAAGUGUUUUCUCUGGUAUAUUCCAUAUCACUUGAUGAAAGUCAUUUGAGCUCUUAUGGGGGAGGAAUUACUUGUUUUCCAACUAUGUGAUUAUUCUUUCGUAUGUGUAACUCAUUAAUAUGACAUCCAGGCAGUCUCCUUUGGCCUACUUUUCAGCUUUCUUUCUCUUAUGGGGAAAAGUUGCCGGUUAAUUCUUUAAUGCUUUUAAAGUAAUUUUAUAUCCCCAGGGCUUUGAAAAAUAGGAGUUGGUUAAUUUGUUAUUCAACCAGAAGAAUAUUGGAAGUGUAGUUCUUAACGUGUGCAUUAAAAAAUAGAACACAUGUUAUGAUUCUUCAUUUCGCAUUUUUGACGUGUACAGAGAUUGUAUGGUGGAUAGCAAAGUUGGGGAUCCUGUUAGGUGAUCGAGGGUCCAUUCCCCAGGCUGUCUGGGUGUAGAUCUCUGCUUCUUUACCUCAUAAUCUGUUGAAAUGAAAGCCAAAGGUGGAGGCUUCAAUACGUUUAAAAGUGUUGGAGGAGUUCCCAUUGUGGCUCAGUGGAAACGAAUCCAACUAGGACCCAUGGGGUUGUGGGUUCGAUCCCUGGCCUCACUCAGUGGGUUAAGGAACCUGUGUUGCCAUGAGCUGUGGUGUAGGUCACAGAUGCGGCUUGGAUCUGGCUGUACUGUGGCUGUGAGAUAGACUGGAGGCUACAGCUCCGAUUAGACCCCUGGCCUGGGAACCUCCGUAUGCUGUGGGUGUGGCCCUAAAAAGACCAAAAAAAAAAAAGGUGUUGGAAAAGGAAGAUGAAUACACACUGAGAGGCUGCAGGGCUUGUGAUGAAGGGGCGGUAGGAAAAGGACCGUGGCACAGACCAUCUCUUCAACACCUGUGCUCCAGAAUCCUAAAGUAGUUACCCAGGGGCUGUUUACAUGGUUUCAGAGACUGGUCAGUCCUGCAGCCAAGAUGCUGGUUCUGGCCCUGCACCCUCACUUUCCCUCCUAACUAAGAAGUGACUCCCUUGAAUUGUGGUGUCAUGUACUUUGAAUAUUAUAAACCACACAUUAGGGCGUAAGAAUAAAGAUUUUCCACAAGAGAGUAUUACAUACUCUAAUUGGUCAGGGAGACCUGUUAAAUAAUCAAGACAGUAAUGGGGUGAUUAUAAUAAACCUAUGUGUUUGUUGUCCCGUGUGUUUAAAUGGGAAACUGUUUCUUUGAGUAUCAGUCCAUUAUGAACCGGGGCUUCCCUCUCUCAGAACCGUAGUCAUUCAAGGGAGACGUGGCACUUCACACAAUAUUAUCACUUGUGAUGUGUCGGGCAUAGCGGUAUUGAAGAGGGAUGCUUACUCAAACUCUUGACUGUGAAUCUAUGAUGAAAGGUUUCUUUGUGGUCUUAUCUGGCAUUUUGUCUUGUUUCAUAUGGUUUCCUCAGACCUUGUUUAGUCUGAUUCAGUUCCAUCUCUUUUCUGUCAAUCAGACCCUUGUGUGUGCUUCCUAAUGGACCAGGUACUGUUGUCAAUACUUCACAAAUACGUAUUUCAUCCCCACAAGAACCCAGGAAGUAGGUACUAUUAUGAUCCCUGUUUUAAGAAGGAAGAAACUGAUGUGAUCAUUUAAGUCAUGUUAACCUAAAGGUACGCAAAACGUCCCAGAAUCCUGACUUCUUUAUGUCAAGCAAUGCUGCAAGAUUUGCUCCUUAAUUCACUGACAUAAAGUGUAGAAAGAAAGGCACUAAUUGUUAUGUCCUUUGGGCUUUUUUCUUAUUUUAGUAAAAAGAAACAAAACCUAAAGUUAUAAAACAAGAAACAUUUCUUCAUAGCAUAUUAUGACAUAUGCCAGUAUUUUCUGCACAAAGAAACCAAAAUAGACUAAUUUAUAGAAAAGAUACUUUCUGAAGGUAGUUGUUCUUUCACUUAUUAUUUGUAUGCAUACAUUAAAAGAAUAUGUAUUUUCUGUUGUGUCAGGCUUGCUGUGUACAUAUAAGUACAUUUUUUAUAUGUGUCUGUUUUGCAUUACCUUAUGUAGGCUGUCAUCAGUCUAGGGUCACAUUUUUUAAAAAGAACUGAAGUAUACGGAGUUCCCGUGUCGUGGCGCAGUGGUUAAUGAAUCCGACUAGGAACCAUGAGGUUGCGAGUUUGCUCCCUGGCCUUGCUCAGUGGGUUGAGGAUCCAGUGUUGCCGUGAGCUGUGGUGCAGGUUGCAGAUGCAGCUCAGAUCCGGUGUUGCUGUGGCUCUGGCAUAGGCCGGUGGCUACGGCUCUGAUUCAACCCCUAGCCUGGGAACCUCCAUAUGCCAUGGGAGCAGCCCUAGAAAAG
RNAcentral lists this long non-coding RNA (4706 nucleotides) under Sus scrofa (pig). RNAcentral describes it as "lncRNA (ENSSSCG00060039071.1)". Lineage: Eukaryota; Metazoa; Chordata; Mammalia; Artiodactyla; Suidae. The record is from RNAcentral.